UUGUCUUCUCUCUCUCUUCCUCUUGGUUGCUGUUUUUUUUUUUUUUGAGAAUCGUCGAUGUUGCUCAUGGUUUUGAGAAAUCUCUACAAAAUUUAUUCAAUUUCAGAUUCUCUAAGAAGGAGGAGGAGGUAAAGGAACACAUGGUUCAGUUGGCGGCGGCAGCGGAGAGGAGCAGGCGGAUAAUCGGAGAUUACGGAGUGGGACGACAAAUCGGGUCCAGUUCGUUUUCGGUGGUGUGGGAAGGGAGGCAUCUUGUAGAUGGAACUGUGGUUGCUAUUAAGGAGGUAUACAUGGCUAGGCUUAUAAAGAAGUUGUAAGAUAGUCUCAUGUCGGAGAUUUUCAUCUUGAGGAAGAUCAAUCACCCCAACAUCAUCCGCUUCAUCGACAUGAUCGAGGAACCAGGGAAAAUAGCAUCAAAGCAUUGUUAAUGAAUUCUGUUCAUCAGACACUUGCUUCUUUCUUUCACUACGGUGUCCACUCUUUUUCAUAUGGCAAGUUAGUUUAUGUGAUUGAUUUGAAAAUUAUUGUGUGCAAUCUGUGUAUAAUAUGACUAUCUGUGAAGCUAUACAGGUAAAAAAUGAUUCAUUUAUAGCUCGUGCUUGUUCAUUGCGGAUGAGAAAAAAGCAACAGAAAAUUGAUUUGUGUAUUUUCUAUGAUGAUAUCAAAACAGAGGAUUGGAAAUGGGUUGGAUCUUACCUCAAAGGAAGACUCAGACAACUGAAAGAAAAACAUGAAAGUAAACCUCUAUGUCUCUUAUCUCUCACAUGCUCUCUCUCGUUUAUAACAUUAUGUUUAUGGAUAUGGUUUCUUCUCUAAUGUAGUUGUUAUAUUAAUUUAAAUGAAAGGUUUGUUGGUUGGUU
This is a long non-coding RNA of Brassica oleracea var. oleracea, 860 nucleotides long. RefSeq lists it as uncharacterized. Lineage: Eukaryota; Viridiplantae; Streptophyta; Magnoliopsida; Brassicales; Brassicaceae. The record is from RefSeq and is a predicted model, not a curated record. The transcript has 2 exons.